CGGGGUGCACCAGGCGGGAAAACUUUCCAAUGCCGGCAACGGCGAUAAGGGACCCUGGAGUCCCAGGUUACAAAUCUGGCGGUCGGGAUGCCUAAAAACCAUUGCAUACCAAGGCCCGGCCAAGACCGGUCCCAGCCGCCGCGGUAACCCCGGCGGCUGGAGUGGUAUCCGUUAUUAUUGGUUUUAAAGGGUCGGUAGCCGGCCGGGUAAUUCUCCUGGGAAUUUUGGCAGUCUAACUGUCAGGCUUUCGGGAGAUACUGCCUGGCUCGAAACCGGGAGAGGUGAGAGGUACUUCAGGGGUAGGGGUGAAAUCUUGUAAUCCCUGAAGGACCACCAGUGGCGAAGGCGUCUCACCAGAACGGACUUGACGGCAAGGGACGAAAGCUAGGGGCACGAACCGGAUUAGAUACCCGGGUAGUCCCAGCCGUAAACGAUACUCGCUAGGUGUCGGCCACGGUGCGACCGUGUUCGGUGCCGCAGGGAAGCCGUGAAGCGAGCCACCUGGGAAGUACGGCCGCAAGGCUGAAACUUAAAGGAAUUG
Molecule: ribosomal RNA, 541 nt
Filed under: uncultured archaeon
Lineage: Archaea
Description: bacterial SSU rRNA
Rfam family: Archaeal small subunit ribosomal RNA
Source: RNAcentral